AAUCCUUAUCUCAGCCAAUUUUAUAACAACAGAAAAAUGUGUUUUUUAAUUAGGUGGAUUAUAGUUAAUUGAAAUAAGGGGUUGAUAUAUAAUAUAUUUUUUUCUUUUUUUAUGAGGGGAAACAAGUCCGAAAUUCAAUCCGGGAAUGACACGCCUCAAAAGCCUUUUUGAAUCUCAAAUGGAGUGUGUGUCCUGCACUGCAAUAAGAUUAUCUUGCAACCUGGUGUUCAAAUUAACAUCUGUAUGAUAAGUUGGAUAUUGUUAGGUGGUUAUUACUAAAAGCACACUUCCAAGCCCAGGUGGGUGUGUUGUGUGUUUAAUCCCUGUUGUGAUGCCCUUAACCUGGGUUAGUUUACUACUGAGCCUCCUUGUUGGUGGUUGUCUAACUUGGCUUCCUGGUUUCCCGUCUGUUAUUGCAAGUUCCUCUUGUACUAUUGUACUACCAAAGUGAAACAAGGAAAUCAUGAGUGGGGGCAAGAAGCUUUAUCUGAUUCUGCCUUAAGUUUAGGGUUAGGCUCAGAAUUUUUGACAGAGUUUCACGUAGGGAUUUAAUUAUUUAACCAGGAAAGGCACAUUGCGACUAGAAUUCUUUCCAGUGCAUCCUGGCCAAGAUCGGCAGCAGCUAGUUCUCUCUAAUUUAAAAGUGUACAUAGAAAUAACAAUGAAAAUUCACAAUCAUUAAACAGCCAGUGAAAAGCAUUGACAGGCAUGAGGUUUAGGUUUCUAGGGUUAGGAGUUGGGUAAAACGAUGUGGCCGGUCCUCACUUUGGUAGUAAAACUGGUGUGUAAGUCGUUGCCAGAUUAGGUGUCGUUCUAGGCUAUGCUACUCCAAUGGAAUGUCAUUACACCCUGGAUUGUCAUGUUGACGGUUGUCCUGACAAAAUCCAGAAAUUUCGUCCAUAGUCUCCUAGAUUGCCCAGCCCAAAGACUAAACGACACGCUAAUCUAUAAGUAGUGCCCUACCUCAGAUCAGGUCCCAGAGCAUGUAGUGUACAGGUUGUCAUUUGGGGCACACAUAUUCAGAUAAGGAGCCAGAUAGAGGAGGAGGAGAUUGUGGGGAAGCUAGCGUUGGUAUGCCCGCCCAUGUCUGGCUCUAGCCCUGCCCAUCAGUAUCAGGGGGCCAAUCAAAUGGAACCCUUUGUUUUCCUGGCACCAAUCUGAACGUUUUGAUUGUCCUCUAGGUCUAGGGAGGGUUUCCCUGCCGAGGGGGAGCUGACGGACGUGUGCUUGUUGGGCCCCUCACCGUUGAUGUAGUGUUCCGUGAUUCCAUGUGUUGAUUCGUGGUUUCCAUGAAACUGCGCUGACCUUGGUUGAUGAACGAAUGGAGGUCGUAUGGGUCCGGGGGUCAGGCUGGGUCCGGGGGUCAGGGUGGGUCCGGGGGUUCAGGUGUUUCUCUGUUCCGCCCAUAUCUCCCUUCAUCUCCCUCCAUCCCUGGUUCUUGUCAUUGUGACGGAGAGGUUGCCGUGGUAGCAGAUGUAGUUUCUGAAUGUGCCGUAAUGUGACAAUCCAGUUACUCCUUAAGAGUGUGUGUGAGGAGUACCUUUCCAGCCCUUCAGAGUGAAAUGUUUGUGUGUGUGUGUUAGUUUGCUUGCGUCUCAAUGACUGAUGUAUCGUCAUGAACCCUUGCCUUAGCCCAAACCCUUUUGUCCAACCGCUAACAUGGUCUACUCUCCACUCACAUUCAAACAUUACCGGGUAGCUACCUUUCCUUUAUUCAUACAUUACCGGGUAGCUACCUUUCCUUUAUUCAAACAUUACCGGGUAGCUACCUUUCCCUUAUUCAAACAUUACCGGGUAGCUACCUUCCCUUUAUUCAAACAUUACCGGGUAGCUACCUUCCCUUUAUUCAAACAUUACCGGGUAGCUACCUUCCCUUUAUUCAAACAUUACCGGGUAGCUACCUUCCCUUUAUUCAAACAUUACCGGGUAGCUACCUUAUGUAAUAUCGAAUUUAAAACAACAAUGUCAGUGCGCGUCCUCCAACGUUAAACUGGGGUAACGUCGGUUAGAAAAUGUCCAGUGUUCUGGUGUGAUGACAACAUGAAUAACAACUGACGCUGUGUAGAAUAUUAGUGGUAUGAAUGUCUGCCUCUGUCCCUAAUGCCACACUAUUCCCCACACAGUGCACUGGUUUUCACCAGAGUCCUGCGGGAGCCCUAUGCAGGGAACAGGGGGGCCGUUUGGGAGGUGUCUCCACAGACGCUUUCUAUCAGGACAGACUGUUGGCUUGGAAAGUGGAGAGAGAGAUCGAGAGAGGGAUCGAGGGAGGGAGGGAGGGAGGGAGAAGAACCAGGAGGCCAUAUGUUGUGUCAACGCAGAUCAAAGAGUCAACAUUGGAGCAUCAGAGCGACAGAUGGACUCUCAGACACACACACACACACACACAUACGCACACACGCACAUUUAUAUACACACACAAACAAACAUAAACAUAACACAUGGCUGUCCAUCACACGCCCUUAGUUCAGUUUCUGUGUGUGCGGUGAAUGUGUGUGCAUGUGGUGUGUGUUAACAUUUAACCUUAAUCCUUCCUGUGCUUGGGCGCGCACACACACCUAACCACCCCUCGGACACAGAGUUCACAGUUAAAGACUUGUUGGACUGAAGAGAGAUGAAGAGAGACUGAGAAGAGAUGGGGGUUGGAAAGAGACAGGAGAGCGAGAGAAAGAAAGAAUGCAAGAGAAAAAGGUUGACAGAGGAAGUGAAAGCAAGCCUCCGGCCGAAAACUAUGUCAGACAGGAACAGAGAGCAACACGGUGUUAACAGAAGUGGACAUUUUUCUAUUGAUGCACUGGGUGGAACUAAAGAAAAACUGUUCACAUACUGUAUGAGGACAUUUUUUAAAUUCAUUUUGUUUGCACUUUCAUGUGUAAUUUAGUCAUCUUGUUCUUUUUUGAACUCUGGUUUAUUGUCACCAUGAGUUGAGAAAAGGGUGAGGGUCGCGGUCAUUUGUUUCUGGUUUUGUAUUUUACUUUCAUUUUAGUUUUUUACCUCACACAUGGCAGCUUCUUGUUUAAUGUCUUUUAAAGGUGUCAGAAAGCUCUUAGUACUACCCGCCUUCUGCUUGUUCUGUAGAGUGUCGUUCCACUUUAUGUUCCAGCUCCGCCUUCAAAACGAGAAGGGACUGUUCUGCCAUUUUGGGUCAAAACAACGGCUGUCAAUGAAGCCUUGUGCCCCUUCUGUACAGUAGUGGUGUUUUAUUCCAAUUACAGAAUCUUACCCACGCCAUUGAAACAAAGAGCUCUGCACCUACCCUUCCUUGAUCAUUUUGGGUCAAAACUACUCAGUUGCCAAUCAUUGUAAUGCUAUUAUGUAUGUUUUCAGUAACCUUAACCACCUUAACUUCCUGUGCUAUUUGUGCUAUUUUGUCAUGAGUGAGGGGUCGUUCUUUCAUGAUGCCUCUCAGUUGGAAAUCCGACAUGCUUUCUGGUUGGGACAAACACACACACACCCUGUGGCUGAUUACAUUUAAAUGGCCCGUCUGACUACUGUAGCUACUUUGUCCGCCCUGACUGUCCUCUGUUUGGCCCCUAAAGGAUCUCAUUGUUCAGUGAAUGUCAACUGUCUGUCAUUGUCCGUCUCAACCACUCUGAACCAGUUCCGGCCUUUCUGGGCGCGGAACCAAGGAGAAUAAUCGAAAUAUCUCGACAUGCUGCGGGACAGCGGUUCUCAAACCCGUCCUAGGGACCUCCAGCCGGUUAAUGUAUUCGAAUUUAUUUCAGAGCCGGCUCCCCUGAAUCAACUUGUUACUUAUUAUCGAGCCCAUGGCCGCUUGAUUCGGGUGAGCUAGUUCAGGUCUACAACGAGAAUGUGAGUCGACGGGAGGGUCCGGAGGAGAUGAUUGAAAACCACUUCUGACUGGUACUGCAAGAGGGUGGACAGGUGGAAAACCCCUUUCUGACUGGUGCCACACUGGGAUUAUGGUUUUAUUUUUCUUCUGACUCUUUCAAUGUUUGUACUGAGGUUCUCCCCUGUGUUUCCUCAAUUAUUCUCACUUCUGAGGUGAUGAAAGAGUGAGAGUCCGUUGUUUUAACACACAAGCUUAUUUUUGCAUGCGGAAUUACAUCUCAGAUGGCGAUUGCUGUAUUUCUGUCUGAAACAAUUAAUUGCACCUUACAGUGAAUGAGAAGUGUUUUUGUAUUGAAUGUGGGUUACAGAUUGUUUUUGUUGGUUUUUCUUUGUCGGUUUUUGAUCAUUGUAAAGAAGGCUAACCAUUGCUGCUUUUAACGUUGAAUGGAAGUUAGCAGUGGCAAGGCUAAUUUUGCUAACCAGUGUGGCAUUGAUAAUUUUAGAGAAGUUAGCAAUAGCCACACACAUUUGGCUAACUAGUGUUGCAUUGACAAUGGUAAAGACAAUGGUUAGCGACGUCUAGGCUAAUUCUGCCAACCGUUUCAAGUUAGUUUUUUCUUCAUGGGCUUACAGUAGGCUAACCGGUUGUAUUCUAUACAGGCUUUGAUUUUGUUCAGCUCCCAGAAACCACAAGGUGGCCUAUUCUCCCUCCAAGCACGAUUUGCCUUCUGACGCGGCGCGCGCGCACACACACACGCACACACGGGCAGGGUGACAUUCUAUACAGAAACCCAAUUGUUGUCAUUAACUGCCUGUCCCAUCUCUACUGACUUCCUAGAGAAAAGGAUGGAUGACGUCUUUACGCACACACGCACAAGCGGUCCAUCUUGCCCUUGAGAGUGUUAAGGCCAAGGUCCACUGGAUGACAAGGGGGUCUGGUGCCAGAGACACUGAAAAACAGUCACUCAUACGCUCUCUCACACACACACACACACACGUACAGUCCUGCCACCUUGGCACCGGACAGGCUGUGCUAUGCUUCAGACCGCCACCCCCUGAUUGUCCCAGGUGCUCUGUUUUGUCUUCAGGCCAUUAACCCAUCCUGGCUUCCUGCCAGCUCUUACUCAUCUAAACACACACACACACACAAAUUCUGUUUUGUGUUCCUAGGUUUUCUUUUUCUACGUUUUCACUGUGGAAAGGGUUUAUUCACUGGCUAUAGCUAGACUGCGGUAUGUUUCGAGGCACUCAGGCCGACGCAAUUGGCCGAUGAUCGCCGUGAGUCACGGGAAAACCAAUUGAUGUGUGUCGCAGGGGUCCAGCCUUGCUGUCUACUCCAAGGACAAAGGACAAUCAACACGGUAACCUUACCCCCACCCCCUUAAGUAGAGGAAGGUGAUGUCAUGACAACAGUGUGUGACGACCAUAUCCGAUGUCUCCCCAUACCCCUUGAUGACACGCGUUGUAAAUUGUCAUUGUUGGAUUUGUUUGAAAUAUCACCUUCAGCAAUAUUUUACAUUUGUUACUUUGUCUGAUCAGAAUUGUUUUGCUUGUUUGUUGUCGUUUUUGUUCUGAUCACCAGCCCAUGUUCGACUGCGUGUGCGUGUGGGCGGGUGUGUGUGUGCUGGCUUGUGUGUAUGUGAGCAUGUGAGUUUGUCUGCUUUCGCGUGAGUGUGUGUGUUGUUCCAUGGCUAGAUGUUCUGCUUAACCAAUCAGCAUCAGUCCAAGCAGUCUGUGUUAACUGUUAUGUGAGUUUCUGGGACGAGUUCAUUUUGGCACCACAUGAAAUAAAUCUGACUGACACAGGGGAGGGACUCUGGACCUGGGCCAAUAAGAAGUUAUUUUUUAUUCUGUGUUGCAAAACGUUCUGGUUCGUUUUUGGUCAUGGACCCUAAUGAACAUGCCCUAGAUGUUCCUGUAUUCAGCAGCUGUACUCGAAAGAAGGAGGAAACCAUGAGAGAAAGACUGAGAGAUGGUGGAAUUUUACAAAGAAGAAAAUAUCUUAUGUUUUCCCUCUCCUCCGUGUGGUAUCAUCACAAAAAAGUGUACAUUUCUAAGUUAAUUUUUGAAAAAUAAAAAACCUUUGUUCUGUAUAUGAAUGGCUGUAUGUUAACCUUGAACAAAAAGUAAUGAAUUCUAUGACAAAUAAAUAUAAUAAAUUAAUAAAAAAAAAAAAUGUAAUCCCUUUUUCCUUUGUGUCUCUAUGUGCAUUGGUCGUGUCCUAAUAACGUGCCUCUUCCAGAAACCUUCCCUCAUUCCCUACAUCUAGCUCAUCUUGGUGGAGGAGAGGGCGAGUGGACGUCCCCAUCAAAUCUCCAUUCUUAUCUGGGAAGAGAAGG
Long non-coding RNA from Esox lucius (northern pike), 6128 nucleotides. Lineage: Eukaryota; Metazoa; Chordata; Actinopteri; Esociformes; Esocidae. The record is from Ensembl.